Triticum dicoccoides is the source of this 759-nucleotide long non-coding RNA. RefSeq lists it as uncharacterized. The record is from RefSeq and is a predicted model, not a curated record. The transcript is spliced from 3 exons. Lineage: Eukaryota; Viridiplantae; Streptophyta; Magnoliopsida; Poales; Poaceae.
UGAACAACAUAUUGAGUUAUUCCAAGAGGAAACAACCCAGAUACUCAACCAAAAGGGGAUCGGCAGCACUGGGGGUGAGGGCCGGAAUCUGUCCGUGUACCUUGCGGUAUGCUGUCGGGACUGGUCUGUUUCUCAAACCAAGGCUCCCCUGUACAAGGUGGAAGUUGCCCUCUCCAAUUCCGACGACCCUUCUUUGCCGCCGGGAGCGGAGCCUACGUUUACCUGGACAAGGAACACUUCGCUCUGUUGUCUUGGCAGAAGGACAGCGGACGCUACAUGUCUUACGAUACAAAGACUGACGAAACUUAUCCAAGGAAGUUAUAUCUGAAGUUGGUUACCUAUCGAACUGGGAGGUGUGUACUCGAGGGGAAGACUCCGGAGAUUGUUGUCUCCUGCCAAUCGGAGCAGGCCUUCAGGGUCUGCAGUUCCCCUGGGUUCUCUGAUGCACCCAUCGCCUUCACUUUAUCCAUAUAAAUAAUGCCAUUGGACACUUUUUUAUCCCACAACACCUUGAGGCUAGGGAAAUCAAAUAUGGGUAGGUUGUCCACAAUAGAAGUUUGAUCACACCAACAGUUAUGCUGGAGAGUGCAUUCAACCGUGGAGGCUACACAAGAUCGAUAGCAUCUCGACUAAAGAGAGAGACGGACGAUUCUCGAGGGGAACAUAUGACACUCACUCCUGGAUAUGGCGUCUGCCCUUCUUGUACUAGUUGUGCGGACGUGGAUGCUUUUGCUUAGAACAAUAUUGUGUAAACUCCAU